Molecule: unclassified non-coding RNA, 7079 nt
Filed under: Pomacea canaliculata
Lineage: Eukaryota; Metazoa; Mollusca; Gastropoda; Architaenioglossa; Ampullariidae
Description: uncharacterized LOC112568131, transcript variant X2
Source: RNAcentral
CUGUGUUCACAUCACACAGGUCCAACCCUAAAAUACAAUACAGAGAGUGUUGACCACCACAUUGGAUUCUGUGUACAUCAGUGUGUGUGGGUCAACCUGCUAGUCCUGAUAUUUAAUCCAUUUCACUAAAUUAUGGACUGUUCGUAUUCUGUAAGUGCGAUGCUGAAGGCAGGAACAGAUUAGCAGAUCAUGUCAAUAAUUACAGUCAAGAAUAUUUCUUUCAUGGCCUGCGAAUGUGCAUCACAGACCAAAUUUUUUUAUAACCAGAGUUGUGUCUGUCACUUCAUGGGCGAAGUGAGACUCAAGCGACAGUUGGCAUCACUUAGAAAUAAUUUGUAGUCCACAAACACAGAGUUUUAUGUCUGAACCUGAAUCGUACCCGCAUUCAGAGAGGGCAAAGUGAUCUCAAACACUGAUGGGACCUUCAUUGUCAUGUAUAACAAACAUUAGUCAUUGCCAUGUACGCAGUCUAUGCUCUCAGCUUCAAUUUACAAUCAUGGCUUUCUCAGUUUAAUACUUGGCCUUAAGUGCCUGCAUCCUGUCGUAGCAUCCUGCUGAACCAGAUAUACAUAGUGUUGAUAAGAUUAAUUUGUACCUGUAGCAACUUAGCGAUGACAGUGGGUUUCAAUGUGCAUUGGCGUGGAUACUGUAUAAAAGUUAGAUGAAGGCUUCUCCAUCUCACCCUAUGACAAACAUACAUUCACGGUAUGUAACAUGAAAGUGAUGUCUCCUGUAGAAACCGUUAACCCAACAACCAGCAGCGGUUUGGACAGAGAAGGACGUUCAGAGUGUGUUUACGGGGACUAGACGUAAACAAACAAUUAUUCUCAGAAUUCACGAGUGAUAUCAGGGAAGUGAAGCUUUUGCUGUUUUAGAUAAACAUCGUGGAGUCAUUGGCUGCUGCGCUUCGUGCCCCGUGUACAGUCACGUGACUAUGUGUAGUGAGAAAGACAAGGAUGUAGAUUGAAGAGAAAGUGCGAUUUCAUUGUUUCUCACAAUUUGAGUCUGCAUUUUGCUAGACAAGACCCUACACAUGUCAAAGAUGAAGAAAUGGAGCUUUGUUUUCGUGUGCUCUGUUUAUUUCAGCAUUAACCUUGUUUCAGGACUCACUAUACAAAACUGUGUUUUUGGGCGGAUUUAUAUCCUACAAGAUACUUCGACACUUAUUACAUGCAGCAACAUACCUGAGACAGAAAAUGUCACGUGGACAGUUGAGAAUGAUAGAACUGAGACAAUCUUCAAAUAUGUCUGUGGAAGUAUUACAGCCUGUAGCGGCAUUACUUACAGAGAUUUUUCUUUACAAAGAUACAGGGAUGAUGGGAUUUCACUAGUCAUCAACAGAAACCAUCGACGAUAUGAAGGCUUCAACGUGACCUGCUCCACGACAACUGAACACGUGGAGUGUAGGAUGCACAUCUUUCACGCCGCAGAGUUGAGCCCGUGUACAACUGAAAUCAACCCGAGGUUAUGGACGAUAGCAGCAACAUGUCCCGUUAACAAAUUUUUCUCGACGGCACAGGAAGUUUAUUGUGGAGUAACGGAGCGUCAAAAUUUCUUAAACAGCUCAAUGACGAUCAGCUGGAGAUCUCUCUGCCAACUUCACCUACAAAACUACACUGACACAGUAGAUAACAACACUUACCAGAGAGGUACCUGUCACUUCACUAUGUACCUUCCUCCUUCAGCUGGUAAUUAUUCCUACAUCAUCCACAUCCGACCUGGCCCGGCACAGGACACUGGUGUAGAGGUGUGGACAGACAAUUUAAAACCAAGUUGCGCAAAAUUCUUGCAAGAGAAUCCGAACGGCAGUUGUGAGUGUUAUGAGCGAGAUCUUGCAUCUUCCUCCUACACAGGAGGGACAACGAACUACGUGUGUAACAUUGUCAGAGGAUCCACAUCGCAGAGUACACCACCAUCCCUCACUCCCACUUCUCAAACCCCAAACUGGAACAACAGGUACCAUUCCAGUCAUAAUAGACCUACAAGUACAACAACAGCAACCACUUUGUCCAGCACUACAAGAACAACAAAAACUCCUCAAUCUUCCCACGACUCUUUUCGCGGGCUCCAGCCUGUGAACAUCUCCACCAACGCCACUCAACCGUUUGUCACAGACGGUACAACACAGAUGGCGCUCUUCUGUCAGACUGAUGACGUGUAUCCAGCCGUCAGGUACACAUGGGCAGGUGUGACAUGUAUCAACGAGCAUCACAAACACGGCACGUGCAUCUUCACACCUAGAGUCCCUCAGGACGACGGUCGUCAGGUGACGUGUGAUGCUUACAGUGUUGUCUCCCUUGAACGGAGGUCGUCUGACCCCUACACAAUACAACUGAACUAUCCUCCUCCGUCACCUCCAAUCAUACGCGGGUAUGAGGAGGGGUCGGUCUUGACAGAAGGAGAAAAGUUCAUCUUGGACUGUGAGGUCAAAGGUGGGAAACCGAAAGUUAGGUCUGUGAGGUUUGUUUGCGUUGAUGAACCUGACAACCCGGACAUUGUGGAUGGCAUGUCUGUCUGGAGUCGUGUCCUCAUCAAUGUCAAGACCAAACAUGAUAAUACAGUGUGUUUGUGCUCGGCCACAUGGAGCCCACAGCCGAGGUUUUACUCCAACACUACUUUUCUACGUCUCUACGUCAAUGAAAGCACGAUGCCACGAUCCCCUUCAGUGACGACAAGAAAGAUGUAUAAAAAGCCUAGACAGACACCAGUAACGACUUCACAAGUGACCCACGUGACCACGUCUUCAGAACUGGGUUCGUCUCCAUCGCCUCAAAGUAACACCGGUCAGUCAGUCCCCAUUGGGAUCAUUGCAGGAAGUGUUGCAGCCGUUGUAGUAACUGUCAUCGUCAUCGCCGCCGUGGUUUACGUCACCAGACGGCGACAGAAUCGUAAGUAAACAUGAGCUAAAGGUGUUUGUGAUGAUAAACCUACAAUUAUGGCGAUGUUGCAUAAGCUUGGAAUAAGUAAACUUUACAGUUAUUCUGGUUAGAGGUCUGUGUCACCAAAUAAUGCCCGCUUGCCAUUCCAGUACGAACCUCAUUUAUCACGGUAAGUAAAAAGACAGGUUAAAGCGCUGCCAUCCAAACGGUCUGCCCUCGAGAUGGUUACAGCUACAGUGGUUACAUCUACGACCACCAGGCAAUGGGAUUCUUUACCGUUUGCUUUGCCUCUCGUUUGUCUAGAAACCUGAGUUUACCUCAUUCUAUGACAUUUUUCAGUAAAAUAUCCAAAAACUUCUUGUUAAUUUUUGCUGCUGAUAACGAAAAAAAUUUCUUGUUUUCAAAACAAAGGUUAGGGGAGGUAAUUUUAAUCCUCAGAACAGGAGUUGUCUCCUUUUUUUCACAAAGUAACUAUGGGGAGGGCUGAGGUGGCCUGUUAGCUCUUCCUGGCCCCGUUUGGUCCCCUGACCGCAGGUGGACCAGGUCAGUUUACGGGGUAAACCUUACCCUCCCCUUCUUUCCGUUUUUAUAUCAUUCUUUGGGAAGAAUAAGGCUAGAGCUGUGAGUGGACCUCGCACUCUGAAGUACAGCGGGUUGCGCUUCUAUCCGCCAUAGAAAACCACGAAGCCUUUAAGGUUGUGGAAGUUUUGAGAAUCUUUACAAAGAUCCAGAAAGUUUUCCCCAUUUGCAUGAAUAGCCAAGGUAAAAGUAAGCAUGCAAGAAAUAAUUUUGCGCUGCUGGAGCCGCCUGUGGUCGUCGUUGGAGAGUGCCGAGGGCUGCAGGAUGCUGGUGUGCUUUGGGUACAGCAAUGGUGUGGUUCAGUUGCUGUAUCAAGUGAGCGUUGGACGGAUUCCUGGGAACCGAUGCUCUCUUCAUCUACCUGCUGUGAUACAAUGUCGACAACUUUACAGUCAAAGAGAGACAACAGCACUCAAGGAGGGAUCCGUAUCCUCAAUUCACAUUUUGCUAGACAAGACCCUACACAUGUCAAAGAUGAAAAGAUGGAGCUAUAUUGUCUUUGUGUGCUCUGCUUAUUUCAGCAUUAACCUUACUUCAGGACUCACUAUACAAAACUGCGUUUUAGGAUGGAUUUAUAUCCCACAAGACACUUCGACUUUGAUUGGAUGCACCAGCAUAUCUGAGACAGAAAAGGUCACGUGGACAGUUGAGAAUGAUAGAACUGGGACAAUCUUCAAACAUGUCUGUGGAGGUAUUGCAGCCUGUAGCGGCGUUACUCGCGGAGAUAUUUCUUUACAAACCUACAGGAAUCAUGGGAUGUCACUGGUCAUCAACAGAAACCAUCGACAAUAUGAAGGCUUCAACGUGACCUGCUCUACGACAACUGAACACGCGGAGUGUAGGAUGCACAUCUUUCACGCCGCGAAGUUGAGCCCGUGCACAACUGCAAUCAACCCGAGGUUAUGGACAUUUGCAGCAACAUGUCCCGUUAACAAAUUUUUCUCGCCGACACAAAACGUUUCUUGUGCAGUAACGGAGCAUCAAAAUUUCUUAAACAGCCCACUGACGAUCAAACCAAGAUUCCCAGGCCAACUUCACCUACAAGACUACACUGACACAGUAGAUCACAACACUUAUCAGAGAGGUAGCUGUCACUUCACUAUGUACCUUCCUACUUCACCUGGUAAUUAUUCCUACAUCAUCCACAUCCGACCUGGCCCGGCACAGGACACUGGCAUAGAGGUGUGGAUAGACAAUUUAAAACCAAACUGCGCAAAAUUCUUACAAGAGAAUCCAAACGGCAGUUGUGAGUGUUUUGAGCGAGAUCCACGAUCUUUCUACAACACACGAGGGACAGCGAACUACGUGUGUAGCAUUGUCAGAGGAUCCACAUCGCAGACUACACAACCACCACUCAGUCCCACUUCUCAAACCACAUGGUUGGGUUCGUCUCCAUCGCCUCAACGUAACACCGGUCAGUCAGUCAACAUUGAAGUCAUUGCAGGAAGUGUUGCAGCCGUUGUAGUAAUUGUCAUCGUCAUCGCCGCCAUCGUCUACGUCACCAGACGGCGACAGAAUCGUAAGUAAACAUGAGCUAAAAGUGUUUGUGAUGAUAAACAUAUAAUUAUAGCGAUGUUGCAUAAGCUUGGAAUAUGUAAACUUUACAGUUAUUCUGGUUAGAGGUCUGUCACCAAAUAAUACCCGCUUGCCAUUGCAGCACAAACCUCAUUUAUCAGGGUAAGUAAAAGAGGUAAAAAGACAGGGUAAAGCGUUGCUCUCCAAACUUUCUACCCUCGGGAUGGUUACAACUACAGUGGUUUCAACUACAUUAGCUACAGCUACGACCACCAGGCAAUGGGAUUCUUUACCGUUUGCUUUGCCUCGCGUUCUGGCUCAUUGUAUGACCGCAGGUGGACCAGGUCAGUUUACGGGGUAACCCUAACCCUCCCGGUCUUUCCGUUUUUAUAUCAUUCUUUGGGAAGACUAAGGCUACAGCGGUGAGUGGACCUCGCACUCGGGAGUACAGCGGGUUGCUCUUCUAUCCGACAUAGAAAACCGCGAAGCCUUUAAGGUUGUGGAAGUUUUGCGAAUCUUUAGAAAGAUUCAGAAAGUUUUCCCCAUUCCCAUGAAUAGCCAGGGUAACAGGAAGCAAUCAAGAAGUCGUUUUGUCGCUGCUGGAGAGGUCUAUGGUCGUCGUUGGAGAGUGCCGAGGGCUGCGGGAUGCUGGUGUGCUUUGGGUACACUGUACAUGGUGGGUACACUGUACUUUGGGUACACUGUACCCGGUACAGCAAUGGUGUGGUUCAGUUGCUGCACCAAGUGAGCGUUGGACGAUUCCUGGGAACCGGUGCUCACUUCAUGUACCUGCUGUGAUAUAAUUUGGACAACUUUACAGUCAAAGAGAGACAACAGCACACAAGGAGGGAUACGUAUCCUCGAUGCACAUGUAAGUUUGUUUUUAUAUAUAUUAUAAUAUUUAACAAUGAGUUCAACACUUUACAUUUAGAAAAUUAUAAAAAUUAUGAACACAACUUGGAUUGAAUUGGAUACGAAUCUGUGUGUGUGUGUAUAUAUAUAUAUAGAUAUGCGUGAGUGAGUGAUAAUAUCUGUGUAAGUAUACACAUCUGUGAGUACAGCCUUGACUAAAACGUGAGAUAGACAAAGAGAGGAUGUGUGUUUAUGUAAGUCUACAUCUGGGUGUGUGUUUGAUCAACACUUUUUCGAGAAAGGAAAUUUUAUGAUUGAUUCCUUUAGAUAUUUAUGAUAAUAUUUACUAUCAAUGAUUACCAUUUGUUAUUUCUAUUGACCUAUUGAUUCUUACAGUUAACAAAAAACCUGUUCUUUUUUUUUAUUAAACAUAAGAUUUUUUUCCUAAAGUGACCAGUGCAUAAGGAAUGGCUCACAAGGAUGUGCAAUGCAAAGAAUGGUUUACCAAGACUGUUCUGUAUUUUACUUUCCAGUCUUCUGCACAGACUAACCUACACUUCAUCCUCAGGAGCUCCACAUUGCCAGGACAAGCUACUACAGAGUUGUACCCACAGUUCUUCAGUCGAAGACUCUCCUUACAACUUGGCCAAAACUCAUGAAAAGUCAUUUCCCGCUCUCGUGGAAGACAAGGUUCAUGUAUGGAGACUUGGACUACUGGUGGAGUAGCGGACAGUGAAACUCUCCGACAUGAGUGAGACCACAGAUAUCUACAGGACUGUCAUCACAGUGAGACUGGUGCUGAUGAAUUUACUCCCGAGGUCUGCAUUAGAUUCAGGUUCUGUGUCAUCACACAAAGACAAGCCUCAACUAUUCAUCCCUGUUGCUGCCGGUGCAGCGUCUGUGGUUCUCGUCCUUAUUAUCGUCGUCGUCCUCAUCACUUGCGUCAUCAAAACGAAACAAACGCAACUUGAGGAACAGGUCAACAUGGUCUACGUCAGUGCGGACAUCCCAAGUUUGAGCUAGUCACGUGCCAUUUUGCGACCUCUAGUCAAGACAAUACUGACAUCAAAACAUGCAAGGAGCAACAUCCAGCAAAUGUUCCCAAAAUGCAACAAUGACAGUUUAGCCAUUUUCAAGAUCAACAACGGUGGAAACAGAACCUACCAACGUUGACAAGACAAUGGAUUUGCAGACACAUCCUCAGUUAUAAAGAGGAGUGAUGGAAUUUACUAAAAUAAAGAAGUAAACAAACUA